This 1691-nucleotide long non-coding RNA is filed under the name Corvus moneduloides (New Caledonian crow). Its description in RNAcentral is "lncRNA (ENSCMUG00000016801.1)". The record is from RNAcentral. Lineage: Eukaryota; Metazoa; Chordata; Aves; Passeriformes; Corvidae.
CUCCUGGGUGGAUUUAUGGGAAGAUGUCACUUAGACAGGUCUGUCAGAACCCAGAUUUGUUUCACCACAGAACCCAAAGCUAAAAAAAUAACAAUCAAAUAAUAAUAGGUUCACAUUUGCAAAGGAAAAGAGGGAUAUUUUUUCUUGACUGGUUCAAGUCAAAUCUGAGUUCAUCCCUACAAACCCAGAGCAGCCAGUGUAGUAUGCUUCUAAACACUGACUUUUCUACUUUCUUGGUCAUUUUGGAGGUCAAAAAGGGAGAGAAGGAGAGAGGAAACUGAAAGUUGGGAGUUAACCCUUGGAAACUGUCAAGAUCAUUUGAGUAUAACUUGAGAGGUGUUUUCCCCAUUUACAAAAUGUCUCAUCUGAACAGUUCACAGCACUUCACACUCAGUUCUCACAAUAUUGCACUUUUCUGCCAAUGCAGGCAUCUCAAACUCACACGGUACCAAACUGAAUUAAUAUGAUAGCACAGCUUUAGGGCCAAGGGAAAGCAUUGCCUCUUUCACAUACCCACAUAAAACCUCCACCCCCAUUACUGCAGCUGCUCUGUUCCAUCCCUUUCUGUUGUUUGGUUUGCCAGAAGUACUGCUAGAAGGAGGUCUGAAAGGGAAGGUUUCAGAGGAAGACUGUGUGGCUGCCACAUUCAUUUUUGGAACUGGAGAACAGACUCAACAGGAACGGGGACAGGGAAUCACAGAUCUUCACUGGUGGCAUUUUAUACUGGGAUCAAGGCAGUCAGCCAAGACAAGCAUACGUCCGAUUGUUUCAGCUGAUAAAGUAAUGGCAGAAGGAGUCAAGGCAUCCAUUCCCUGAGCACAGAUGCAGGCUGACCCGCUCGUUCUUGAAAUGUGGACUGUAUUCAAGAUGCCACUUCAGCAGCAAAGAGUAGAACAGCUCAUACUUGGAACUGCAAAGUAAACUCUGAUCACCCUCUUGCUUGGAACAUGCUCAAGACAGAGAAAAUUUCUGGAAUAUUACACAUCAAAAAUCACUAGGAAUCUCUACUGUACUUCUACUGACAAUUUUUUUCCCAAGCAUCUGAAACCUGGAAAAAUAGAGGAGUAGAAAAAAUAUGUUUCUGAUAUGAAGACCAAGUCCUUGCCAAAGAGAAAGCUGUCCAGUACAUCGGAAGAUUCAAGUACCACGUCUUAACACUUCCAAAUUCCUCUCUUAGAAGGAUGUGUUUUGAUUGCCAUUCUCUCAUGUCAAACUUCUCCUCAGGUAAACAGAUUGCAGCAGAGACCUGGUCAGAAAAUAUAAAUCCAAAAUAUUGAAAUCUUCUAGACCUCAAAGAACUCAAAACAGACAAUUAGAAAACAUUAUAUAACUUUGUCACAGACCAUUCAAAAUCAGGUUUGCUUACGUUUUAAAAAAAUAUUUUAAAAAUUUUUUGUCCUGAUAGGUAUGCAGAAAAAGAAAGAAAUUUGUCAAGCAAAUCAACAAGCAGGCAUAGAAAAAAAUAACACAGACUAUAACUUGGCUUUAAUUAAAGUGUUUGCUCUGAAUUUCUAUAAGACAGUGGAAGCUUGAGCCAGCAAUUUAUUUUGAGUAAUUAAAUCUGUUUCCUUCUGUCACAUUUUGUUAUAGCAAAGAAUAUUUAUGCCAAUCUUUUUCAGAAAAUGUAAUGCAUUUGGAAAUAGUUGAAUAAAUGUUUCUCAGUAAUGACAGACUAGAAGUCCAAACGUGUG